Molecule: ribosomal RNA, 360 nt
Filed under: Carpoporus papulosus
Lineage: Eukaryota; Metazoa; Arthropoda; Malacostraca; Decapoda; Xanthidae
Description: partial 12S ribosomal RNA
Source: RNAcentral
UAUUAUACUAGCAAGUAUUUUGAACCUGAAUUAUUAAUAGAUAUACUCUUUAAAUUUGAAGAAUUUGGCGGUGAUUUAGUCUUGUUAGAGGAACCUGUUUUUGAAUCGAUACACCACGUGGAAUCUUGCUCAUUUUAUUAUAGCUUAUAUACCGUCAUUAUCAGAUAAUUUUAAAAAAAUUAAUUAUUAAAAUUUAAAUAACUAAAUUAAAUUAGAUCAAGGUGUAGCUUAUAGGUGAGUUAAAAUGGGUUACAAUAAAAUUUAUUUAUUACGGAGUAAUGUAAAAGAAAUGUUAAUAUGAAGGAGGAUUUAAUUGUAAUGGGAGUUUAAUAAGCUUAAAAGAUAAAAGCUCUAAAUCAU